RNAcentral lists this transfer RNA (97 nucleotides) under Methyloceanibacter sp. RNAcentral describes it as "tRNA-Arg". The record is from RNAcentral. Lineage: Bacteria; Pseudomonadati; Pseudomonadota; Alphaproteobacteria; Hyphomicrobiales; Hyphomicrobiaceae.
UUCCUCGUCGAAAGCGAUGGCAUGUUCUUCGCCGUCCGCGAAACGGCGGAUGACAAUGCGCGGCAGUCCAUUCUCCCGUUCCAACCGGACGAGGAAA